UUAUGGAUCUGUGAUUUGCAGGACUUCCUAGCACAAUCAACUGUAAACACAAGCUGAUAAUGUACUGUGAGCUCGCAUUCAGAUCUCUCCCAAAAAUUACCAGCUUUAUCUACGGACUAGCAAGGAAACCCAGAAGAAGAAGAAGAAGAAAGAAGCCUGAUACAUCUGCCAUUUAUUUUACGCUACCUACUACUGAACCAUCAUGACAAAACAGAAAGAUAACUACAAUCAAAUUGAAGUGCUUUUGUAUAUAGUUGGGUACGCACAUUUGAUAUAUGAUACUACCGCAACUAGCAAGCUAGAAGAAGAUAUCUCUUUCAACUUGAUCGUAUCUUCUUGGAAGGCUUCCCAAUGACCAGGAAGACGGAGGCAAGAUCGUGCGGAACCUGAAAGAAUCCUUGAGGAGGAGGCCCCGACGCUUUUCUCCUCGGAGGCCGAGGCUUCUUUGGUGCCGGUGGACAUGCCCUGGCAGUGUGGCCAGUCAUGGGAUCAGGACACGACUUGGGGGUGCGGCACUCGUCUUCGUCGUCAGGCGAGGAGUGAAGCUGCUUUCUCUCGCACGGGGCUAAGUCGGAGAGCUUAGAUCCGGAGCUGACGACGAUGGUUCUGAUUGGGGUUGAUGGCCUGAAUUCUUCUGAGACUCCCAUUCCCAUGUCAGUUCUCCCACUUGCACAACCCCUGGCUGCUUGCUCGUGGUACGUAACGUGUCCUCUUCAGUUCACUGCGCAGUUCUGCAACUGAGAAUCCCCUGGGAUACCCAGGUUUUUAUUAUGAUCUUGGUACAAGAAGAGAGCAGAAGUGCUUGCAGAGAGGGAGAGAGACAAAGGCGUGCAUAAAGGCAAUCGAGAGGAUGAUGAUGAGUGGCGAUGAAAGCGAGACAGAUGGGAGUGAUGAGGACGAGCUACUGCUGGACU
Molecule: long non-coding RNA, 914 nt
Filed under: Eucalyptus grandis
Lineage: Eukaryota; Viridiplantae; Streptophyta; Magnoliopsida; Myrtales; Myrtaceae
Description: long non-coding RNA (EGRA_LNC001202)
Source: RNAcentral